GAUGAACGCUGGCGGCGUGCCUAAUACAUGCAAGUCGAGCGAACGGACGAGAAGCUUGCUUCUCUGAUGUUAGCGGCGGACGGGUGAGUAACACGUGGAUAACCUACCUAUAAUACUGGGAUAACUUCGGGAAACCGGAGCUAAUACCGGAUAAUAUUUUGAACCGCAUGGUUCAAAAGUGAAAGACGGUCUUGCUGUCACUUAUAGAUGGAUCCGCGCUGCAUUAGCUAGUUGGUAAGGUAACGGGUUACCAAGGCAACGAUGCAUAGCCGACCUGAGAGGGUGAUCGGCCACACUGGAACGGAGACACGGUCCAGACUCCGACGGGAGGCAGCAGUAGGGAAUCUUCCGCAAUGGGCGAAAGCAUGACGGAGCAACGCCGCGUGAGUGAUGAAGGUCUUCGGAUCGUAAAACUCUGUUAUUAGGGAAGAACAUAUGUGUAAGUAACUGUGCACAUCUUGACGGUACCUAAUCAGAAAGCCACGGCUAACUACGUG
Molecule: ribosomal RNA, 497 nt
Filed under: uncultured bacterium
Lineage: Bacteria
Description: partial 16S ribosomal RNA
Rfam family: Bacterial small subunit ribosomal RNA
Source: RNAcentral